Long non-coding RNA from Homarus americanus (American lobster), 373 nucleotides. RefSeq lists it as uncharacterized. The transcript has 3 exons. The record is from RefSeq and is a predicted model, not a curated record. Lineage: Eukaryota; Metazoa; Arthropoda; Malacostraca; Decapoda; Nephropidae.
CCCUCAGGCUGUUGUUGUGUGGUGGUGGAACAAGGAAAAGAAAGUGAUCACAUAUGUCUGUGUUAGGAGGACAAGAUGGAGAUUAAAGAACUGAUUAUAAGCUGGGUGUCUGUGUUGGCCUUCAUCCUCCUCAUUGUGUUCUUCAUCGCGUGUGGUACACAAAGACUGUGGACUCUCCCUUAUAGCAGACAAUGUGACCCAAAACAUGGUCGUCACGGGAUAUCCGACAGCACCAUAAUUAAGCUGGUAUAUGGUGUGGAAGUGUUUCCUUUCAAAAUUCAGUUUUAUUCGUGAACUUCUGGGGAAGCAGCAAGAGGUGAGCCCGUCAGUAGAAGAGCUGAAGCAAGCACGGACACGACCAUCACGCAAAGUG